GAUGAACGCUGGCGGCGUGCUUAACACAUGCAAGUCGAACGAAGCAUUUAGAACGGAUUACUUCGGUUUGAAGUUCUUUAUGACUGAGUGGCGGACGGGUGAGUAACGCGUGGGUAACCUGCCUUGUACUGGGGGAUAGCAGCUGGAAACGGCUGGUAAUACCGCAUAAGCGCACAAUGUUGCAUGACAUGGUGGGAAAAACUCCGGUGGUAUAAGAUGGACCCGCGUCUGAUUAGCUAGUUGGUGAGAUAACAGCCCACCAAGGCGACGAUCAGUAGCCGACCUGAGAGGGUGACCGGCCACAUUGGGACUGAGACACGGCCCAGACUCCUACGGGAGGCAGCAGUGGGGAAUAUUGCACGAUGGAGGAAACUCUGAUGCAGCGACGCCGCGUGAGUGAAGAAGUAAUUCGUUAUGUAAAGCUCUAUCAGCAGGGAAGAUAGUGACGGUACCUGACUAAGAAGCUCCGGCUAAAUACGUGCCAGCCGCCGCCGUAA
Molecule: ribosomal RNA, 497 nt
Filed under: uncultured bacterium
Lineage: Bacteria
Description: partial 16S ribosomal RNA
Rfam family: Bacterial small subunit ribosomal RNA
Source: RNAcentral